This 3141-nucleotide long non-coding RNA is filed under the name Pan troglodytes (chimpanzee). RNAcentral's name for it is "long non-coding RNA NONPTRT001525". The record is from RNAcentral. Lineage: Eukaryota; Metazoa; Chordata; Mammalia; Primates; Hominidae.
AUCCCAGCCCUUUGGAAGGCCGAGGCGGGCAGAUCACAAGAUCAGGAGUUAGAGACCAUCCUGGCUAACACAGUGAAACCCCGUCUCUACUAAAAAUACAAAAAAUUAGCCGGAUGUGAUGGCACACACCUGUAGUCCCAGCUACUCGGGAGGCUGAGGCAGGAGAAUUGCCUGAACCUGGGAAGAGGAGGUUGCAGUGAGCUGAGAUCGUGCCACAGCACUCCAGCCUGGGUGACAGAGCGAGACUCCAUUUCAAAACAAAACAAAACGAACCAGUAAGACUCUGUCAUACCAGGCCCGGAAAAGCCAUCUGUUCAUUGACCUGUCCUCAGAGGUUGACCGUGCCACUGCCCUUGUGGCCCUGGUGGCGCCAUGAAGCUGAACCAGCCCCAGACCCUGGCUCGGACCCUAGGGAAGACUUGGGUCCUCAACAAGGCAGCAGCUGUGUGAGCAGUUUGGGGUCAGACCUCAGGGCCAAGGUCACUGUGUGCACCCACAGGCCAGGGGUCUCUAAGAGUUGAGAUUUCCUGAUUAGAGGCAGUACCAGCCUGGGUUUGGGAGGGAGACUGAUCCUCCCAUAAUCUCCACGAGCCCCUCCUUCAAGCCACCCCAAGUAUAAGAGAAGCACAGGUCGCUUGCUGUGCCAGCAGCAGCUUGAGGAUAACUCCAGGCCUUCCGUCUAGCCAGCCAUGUUUCACCUCGCCCCACCCUCCUCCAGUCUGGAGCCACCUUGGGUCAAGGACCCUGAGACCAAGAAUGGGAACUGGGGGCAGAGGACCUCCUGCCUGCGGCCAGGAUUCAUGGGUCGAGAUAAGCAACCACGUAAGGAGAAGCCAGGCAGUGUCAUUUUCCCUUUUUUUUUUUUAAAUUACAUGCUUGUAAUUUUAAAAUGUAGAUAUUUGAUGAACAGCUGAACGAAUGAAUGAACAAAUAAGCAUACACAUUUAUUCAUGGCGGCUGGGCGUGGUGUCUCAUGCCUGUAAUCCUAGCACUUUGAGAGGCCAAGGCAGGAGGAUCGCUUGAACCUGGGAGUUCAAGACCAGCCUGGGAAACAAAGUGAGACCUCAUCUCUACAAAAUAUUUUAAAAAUUAGCCAGGCAUGAUGGCUUGCACCUGUAGUCCCAGGUACUCAGCAGGCUGAGAUGGGAGGAUUGCUUGAGUCUGGGAGGUGGAGGCUGCAAUGAGCAGAGAUCAUGCCACUGAACGCUAGCCUGGAUGACAGAGCAAGACAGCUAUCUAAAAAAAAGAAAAAGAAAAAGGGCUUGGCAUGGUGGCUCAUGCCUGUACGCCUGUAAUUCCAGCACUUUUGGAGGCCGAGGUGGGCAGAUCACCUGAGGUCAGGAGUUCGAGACCAGCCUGGCCAACAUAGUGAAACCCCAUCUCUACUAAAAAUACAAAAAUUAGCCGGGUGUGGUAGUGCGCACCUGUAAUCCCAGCUACUCGGGAGGCUGAGGCAGGAGAAUUGCUUCAACUUGGGAGGCAGAGGUUGCAGCGAGCCGAGAUGGCGCCACUGCACUCCAGCCUGGACAACGAGAGUGAAACUCUAUUUCAAAAAAAAAAAAAUUCUUCAUGGCGGAACAAGUGACUGACUUUCGCCUCCACUGUGAUUGUUGCCAGGUGCUGCGGACGGUGGAGACGGCAAGGCAGGCCCCAGUGUCCUGGCUGCAUUCCAGGACUACAUCAAACUGAUGCCGCUGGUUCAGAAGCAAAUCAAAUGAGUGAAGAGCUGAAGAAGGUAAGUUAGCUGGAGCCAGGAGCUGGUGUGCCAGGUGCAGAAAGGACCUCAAGGCCUUGUGGGGCAGGGGUGCGUUCCCAGGGACUCUCAGGGAACUAGCGACAGAAGCCAGACUGCCCAGCCCAGGCCCGAGUACCAUUCCUUUCACCAACAGCCUACCAGGGCCACCGGGAUCCCAGACCAAUUCUUGCUGGCCAUGAGCAGGCCCUCCCAGAUGGUCCUGGGGCCUCUCUGGGUCUAGGCACCCUGAUGGCUGCUGUGCCACACAGACCACCUGGGCUGGGGACAGCUCCCUGGAGACGUGAGCUCCCAUCGGCCGGAACCUUGUAAGAGAUUUAAUCAAUUUGGUAGGGACUCCAAGUGUUAGUUCCAGGAUAUAAUGGAGAAAAUCUGGUGCUCUGUUUUUCCUCUUAGUGGGAAAUCCAAGGGGCAAGAGUGGGACAUCUUAGAGAAAGUCUUAUUCAUUCAUCAUUUAGGAAGCCCGAGGGUGGAAGAAUGAAAAAUAAAUUGCAAAGGUGGUAUGAGCUGUGAAUGUAGGAUUUUUUUUUUCUUUUUGACAGGGUCUCAAUCUGCCGCCCAGGCUGGAGUGCAGUGGUGCAAUCAUGGUUUACUGCAACCUCCACUUCCCGGGUUCAAGUGAUCCUCCCACCUCUGCCUCCCAAGUAGCUGGCAUUACAGGUGUGCACUUCCAUGCCUGGCUAAUUUUUGUAUUUUUAGUAGAGAUGGGGUUUUGCUCUGUUGCCCAGGCUGGUCUUGAACUCCUGGGCUCAAGCGAUCCACUCGCCUCAGCCUCCCAAAGUGCUGGGAUUACAGGCAUGAGGGACUGUGCCCAGCCGAAUGUACGAUUAUUUAGUGCGAAGUGUUUCUUUUACCAGGGACUUAACAUGGAAUUGAAGGUGAAAAAUUUGGCAUCGUCAGAUUCCAGGGGCUAUGACCUACAGAAGGAGGUCUUGGUGAAGGUGACCCACCACGGGUCUCACGAGGUGAGGCCCCACGGGGAUGGGACUCAGGAGGUGAGGCCCCACGGGGAUGGGACUCAGGAGGUGAGGCCGCACGGGGACGGGACUCAGGAGGUGAGGAUCCACGGGGACGGGACUCAGGAGGUGAGGAUCCACGGGGACGGGACUCAGGAGGUGAGGAUCCACGGGGACGGGACCCAGGAGGUGAGGAUCCACGGGGACGGGACCCAGGAGGUGAGGAUCCACGGGGACGGGACCCAGGAGGUGAGGCCCCACGGGGACGGGACUCAGGAGGUGAGGCCGCACGGGGACGGGACUCAGGAGGUGAGGAUCCACGGGGACGGGACCCAGGAGGUGAGGCCCCACGGGGACGGGACCCAGGAGGUGAGGUUCUUGGGGACGGGACCCAGGGGGUGAGGAUCCACGGGGACGGGACCCAGGGGGUGA